This 388-nucleotide ribosomal RNA is filed under the name Hymenopellis sp. Its description in RNAcentral is "partial small subunit ribosomal RNA". It matches the Rfam family "Eukaryotic small subunit ribosomal RNA", at positions 582 to 975 of the family's 1831-position model. Lineage: Eukaryota; Fungi; Basidiomycota; Agaricomycetes; Agaricales; Physalacriaceae. The record is from RNAcentral.
AUUCCAGCUCCAAUAGCGUAUAUUAAAGUUGUUGCAGUUAAAAAGCUCGUAGUUGAACUUCAGGCUUGGUUGGGCGGUCCGCCUCACGGCGCGUACUGUCUGACUGGGUCUUACCUCUUGGUGAGCCAGCGUGGCCUUUAUUGGUUGCGUUGGGGAACCAGGACUUUUACCUUGAGAAAAUUAGAGUGUUCAAAGCAGGCCUAUGUCCGAAUACAUUAGCAUGGAAUAAUAAAAUAGGACGUGCGAUCCUAUUUUGUUGGUUUCUAGAGUCGCCGUAAUGAUUAAUAGGGAUAGUUGGGGGCAUUGGUAUUGAGUCGCUAGAGGUGAAAUUCUUGGAUUGACUCAAGACCAACUACCGCGAAAGCAUUUGCCAAGGAUGUUUUCAUUA